GGCGGACCAAGGUGGAAGGAGAGCAUCACCACAGGGAUCAUCUCCGACCCAAGAAUACACGACUCUCCAGCCGAGAGAGGCCUUGAUUUCAUUCAAAGCUUUGACAUCGCGUUUCAAGGUUUUGGAGAGAACGGAUUGUUGAGGAAGAGCGAAAAGGAAGAGGAUGAGGGAGAACGGUAUGAAUGGAAAUUGGUGCCGCAUUUUGAUUCCCA
Molecule: unclassified non-coding RNA, 212 nt
Filed under: Hevea brasiliensis (rubber tree)
Lineage: Eukaryota; Viridiplantae; Streptophyta; Magnoliopsida; Malpighiales; Euphorbiaceae
Source: RNAcentral